ACAGUCGCGUAUGAAGCUCGCAAGGGCUCAUAUGAGGAAAGUCCGGGCUCCAUAGAGCAAUGAUGCUGGAUAACGUCCAGUGAGGGAGACCUUAAGGAAAGUGCAACAGAAAAUAACCGCCAUACUAGAAGCUAAAAAUUAGAAGUUAGUAAAUAAACGUAAAAACAGUAAGCCAAUAUCUAAAUUCUAAUUUUUAACUUCUAGUAUGGUAAGGGUGAAAAGGUGAGGUAAGAGCUUACCGCUGAUAUGGUGACAUAUCAGGUCAAUGUAAACCCCAUCUGGAGCAACACCUAAAUAUAAGAAGGCUAAGGCUGCUCGCCAUCUUCUUAAACUGGUGGCUAGAGGCAUAUAGUAAUAUAUGUUCGAGAUAAAUGACUGUUUUUAACAGAACCCGGCUUACAGAUAUACU
This 409-nucleotide RNase P RNA is filed under the name human gut metagenome. Its description in RNAcentral is "Bacterial RNase P class A". It matches the Rfam family "Bacterial RNase P class A". From Rfam's summary of the family: Ribonuclease P (RNase P) is a ubiquitous endoribonuclease, found in archaea, bacteria and eukarya as well as chloroplasts and mitochondria. The record is from RNAcentral.